UACAGAGGGUGCGAGCGUUAAUCGGAGUUACUGGGCGUAAAGGGCGCGUAGGCGGUGGACUAAGUGAGAUGUGAAAUCCCUGGGCUUAACCUAGGAACUGCAUCUUAUACUGGUUGACUGGAGUACUGUAGAGGGUAGUGGAAUUUCCGGUGUAGCGGUGAAAUGCGUAGAGAUCGGAAGGAACACCAGUGGCGAAGGCGGCUACCUGGACAGAUACUGACGCUGAGGCGCGAGAGCGUGGGGAGCAAACAGG
Molecule: ribosomal RNA, 253 nt
Filed under: uncultured bacterium
Lineage: Bacteria
Description: partial 16S ribosomal RNA
Rfam family: Bacterial small subunit ribosomal RNA
Source: RNAcentral